AUACUCUGGUUCCUCUUCAGAUCAUAUUAAUCUUCUUUCACCUUUUACUAAAGAUUUCUGUGGAGAGGAACAAUUCUGAGUUGUUACCCAAUUUUGGGGGGCCUUGAAUUUUGCAAGGCU
Lepus europaeus (European hare) is the source of this 120-nucleotide small nuclear RNA. RefSeq annotates it as U5 spliceosomal RNA. The transcript has a single exon. The record is from RefSeq and is a predicted model, not a curated record. NCBI's taxonomy places the organism in Eukaryota, Metazoa, Chordata, Mammalia, Lagomorpha, Leporidae.